CUUACCCAUGCAGGUCGAGCGGAUGAGUGGAGCUUGCUCCAUGAUUCAGCGGCGGACGGGUGAGUAAUGCCUAGGAAUCUGCCUGGUAGUGGGGGACAACGUUUCGAAAGGAACGCUAAUACCGCAUACGUCCUACGGGAGAAAGUGGGGGAUCUUCGGACCUCACGCUAUCAGAUGAGCCUAGGUCGGAUUAGCUAGUUGGUGAGGUAAAGGCUCACCAAGGCGACGAUCCGUAACUGGUCUGAGAGGAUGAUCAGUCACACUGGAACUGAGACACGGUCCAGACUCCUACGGGAGGCAGCAGUGGGGAAUAUUGGACAAUGGGCGAAAGCCUGAUCCAGCCAUGCCGCGUGUGUGAAGAAGGUCUUCGGAUUGUAAAGCACUUUAAGUUGGGAGGAAGGGCAGUAAGUUAAUACCUUGCUGUUUUGACGUUACCAACAGAAUAAGCACCGGCUAACUUCGUGCCAGCAGCCGCGGUAAUACGAAGGGUGCAAGCGUUAAUCGGAAUUACUGGGCGUAAAGCGCGCGUAGGUGGUUCGUUAAGUUGGAUGUGAAAGCCCCGGGCUCAACCUGGGAACUGCAUCCAAAACUGGCGAGCUAGAGUAUGGCAGAGGGUGGUGGAAUUUCCUGUGUAGCGGUGAAAUGCGUAGAUAUAGGAAGGAACACCAGUGGCGAAGGCGACCACCUGGGCUAAUACUGACACUGAGGUGCGAAAGCGUGGGGGAGCAAACGGGAUUAGAUGCCCUGGUACUCCACGCCGUUAAACAAUGUCGACUACCCGUUGGGAUCCUUGAAAUCUUAUGGGGGCAGCUAACGCAUUAAAGUCGACCCCCCUGGGGGAGUACGGGCCCCAAGGGUUUAAAACUUCAAAUGAAUUUGACCGGGGGGGCCCCGCACCAAGCGGGUGGAAGCCAUGUUGGUU
This 922-nucleotide ribosomal RNA is filed under the name Stutzerimonas stutzeri. RNAcentral's name for it is "bacterial SSU rRNA". It matches the Rfam family "Bacterial small subunit ribosomal RNA", at positions 48 to 947 of the family's 1533-position model. Lineage: Bacteria; Pseudomonadati; Pseudomonadota; Gammaproteobacteria; Pseudomonadales; Pseudomonadaceae. The record is from RNAcentral.